CUAUGUCCUGAAUACCCUUACCCCCCAAUGUCAGUCAUUUUUAUACACAAACGUUUACAUUGUGCCUAUCAGUUUUCUUCCUCCCUUUUACUAUUGUUAAGAAUUCAUAUUUUUAAACUUCACAUAUAAUUUUCUCUGCUUGGAUUUUGGAUGAGCACUGCAUCAUGUUAAACUCUGCAUUGCUAUUGAUCUUAAAAAAACCUGGCACAGUGCUUUAGCAGAAAGGAAGAUUGUACUUCUUAUGAAAAGACUUUUUUUCCAAAACAUCCUCUUACAUCUUUGUAAGAGAACUUCUCAUAAUUGAUUCUAAGGGUAAAAGAGCAGCAUGGUAUUGCAUAUUAGUUGGAGAGUAGAAUUGAGUCAACUAAAAAUAUAUUGAGCUGGAAUGGUGAAAAAAAUUACAGGCCAGGUAUUAAUGUGAGUAAUACUGAACAUGUAAAUUAAGAGCUGUUGAAGUCCAAUAUGCUGAGCUCUGAACAUCUCUCUACCUUUUCAGUGGACUGGAGCCUGGAUCCUCCGUGAGCUUACACAGCUGUGUUGCACUGAGAUAUGGUAAAGAGCUCAGUCACAGUGAUUUAUUGACACAAAAUCAGAAGGAGAAUCUUCUAAAUGGCCAGUCAGCUGAAGAAGCCAGACUGGGAACAUCUGUAUCUUCCCACCUGAAAACCUCACCUGUUGCUUGCUCCUACAGAGUACCUGGAAACACUGGGAAUGAUUGGAACGCUCAGUGACUGCAACUGCACACUGAAGGUAGGCUCUUCCCUGCAAGCCUCCUUCCCCAUACCUGAUACUUAUGCUCUGUUAAGUUUAGUGCCUUCUCAAGUACCUUCUUGAGAUGGUCAAAUGCUGCUCCUGAUGAUGUUGUCACGGUGUGGCACAGUCAGUACCUGUUUAGAAAGACCAAGCUUCACCUACUGCGUGGGCUGCAACAUGACAUUUGCAAUCUGAUUAGCUGAAAUGUCAUUAGCAUGGGUUUUCCUGGCAGAUUCAUGACCUGAGGACCAUCUGCCUGACAAAUUUCAGUUCUCUGCCACAAGGAGCAAUUAUAGGAAGAAAUCCACAACAUUUUUUUUUCUGUUGUUUUUGUUUGUUUCUGUCUUUGUUUCUUUGUUUUUGACAAACCUCUCUUGGAAACAGCCAAACUGAUUAAACAGAAAAUAAGAUAUCUGCCCCAAACUCAACCAAACCAAAUCAAACCCAACUAGCAGACAACAAGCUGUUGGCAGGCACUAAGCUUGAAACAUGUGAGCUGGAACU
This 1257-nucleotide long non-coding RNA is filed under the name Cyanistes caeruleus (blue tit). RNAcentral describes it as "lncRNA (ENSCCEG00000016630.1)". The record is from RNAcentral. Lineage: Eukaryota; Metazoa; Chordata; Aves; Passeriformes; Paridae.